This 94-nucleotide small nucleolar RNA is filed under the name Aspergillus terreus. RNAcentral's name for it is "A. fumigatus snoRNA Afu_335". It matches the Rfam family "A. fumigatus snoRNA Afu_335". Lineage: Eukaryota; Fungi; Ascomycota; Eurotiomycetes; Eurotiales; Aspergillaceae. The record is from Rfam by way of RNAcentral. RNAcentral also lists the same sequence under 1 other name.
UCGCAUGAUGAUCAUCCUGAUAGGGACAUCCGAUGCAAAGCAUGUGAUGUGAACAGGACAAGAGAUUUUAGUAGAUGCUUCUUGGAGUCUGAAG